GCGUUAAGCUGGUUGGGACCCGGGAAGGCCUCCCUCUUAAGGUCUUUCCCACACCUCUGCACCUUGUUGCCUGACCUUCGGCUUCAGGAUCCGCAGCGUGCACCCGCGUUCCAUCUGUCUUCUGAGACUUUGCCCUUCUCCAGGAAGAGCACUCAGGAGACCAGGAAAAUGGCCACAGGGCUCCUGAGAGCCAAAAAAGAGUGUUUAAUGAUGAACAGUUUCAGACAUAUGGAAAAAACCAGGAAGCCUUGUACAUUGAACACUCACAUACCCACCACCUAGAUUCUCAGCCUGAGCAGGCACGUGGCAGCAUUUGGUAGAGGAAGGAGUGAGCCCUGCUGUAGGAACUAUAUAUAUUGGUGAGUUAUUUGCCCCCAAGCCCCAGAGGCACCACUGCUUCAAGUAGAACAAAUACUGAGACCAAGUAGUCUCAGAAAAUUUUCAAACUCAGCAAGAUAAUUCUUUACUAUUUAGUUGUACUUGUGUGGUGUCUUCUCCCUGCCUAGUUUUAAAACUCCCUCUAGGUAAGGGCUUUGGUU
Molecule: small RNA, 539 nt
Filed under: Pan troglodytes (chimpanzee)
Lineage: Eukaryota; Metazoa; Chordata; Mammalia; Primates; Hominidae
Description: processed transcript
Source: RNAcentral